RNAcentral lists this ribosomal RNA (540 nucleotides) under uncultured bacterium. RNAcentral's name for it is "bacterial SSU rRNA". It matches the Rfam family "Bacterial small subunit ribosomal RNA", at positions 772 to 1314 of the family's 1533-position model. The record is from RNAcentral.
ACGCAAUAGAUACCCAGGUAGUCCACGCCCUAAACGAUGUCUACUAGUUGUCGGGUCUUAAUUGACUUGGUAAACGCAGCUAAACGCGUGAAGUAGACCGCCUGGGGAGUACGGUCGCAAGAUUAAAACUCAAAGGAAUUGACGGGGACCCGCACAAGCGGUGGAUGAUGUGGAUUAAAUUCGAUGCAACGCGAAAAACCUUACCUACCCUUGACGUGGAUGGAAUCCCUGAGAGAUUGGGGAGUGCCCGAAAGGGAACCAUUACACAGGUGCUGCAUGGCUGUCGUCAGCUCGUGUCGUGAGAUGUUGGGUUAAGUCCCGCAACGAGCGCAACCCUUGUCAUUAGUUGCUACGAAAGGGCACUCUAAUGAGACUGCCGGUGACAAACCGGAGGAAGGUGGGGAUGACGUCAAGUCCUCAUGGCCCUUAUGGGUAGGGCUUCACACGUCAUACAAUGGUACAUACAGAGGGCCGCCAACCCGCGAGGGGGUAGCUAAUCCCAGAAAGUGUAUCGUAGUCCGGAUUGUAGUCUGCAACUCG